AUAUUCAUACCUUUGUGAACGCAUGGGAGCAGCACAGUCGGUCUGGGUGGCUGUGUAAGCAAGUACAGACUCCCCAGGCUCAGAGAGCUCUUCAUUUUUUCUGUCUUUCAGCUCUACCUCUCAAGCUCUGGUCUAGUUUAGGAAGCUCCCUGUGAGCAUUUAGCCUAUUGACUUUCAUAUUCCCAGAUGCUUUCGGCACCUUAAGUAGCUAUGUUCUCUCUGGAGUCUAGAUCGUGUCCUUAGGUGAAGAGGAGGGGUGGGGGCGGGCAGGUCCCCGAUCUAACUCCCAUCGAUGAGAAUGGGAACGUGAGUUACCGCUUCAGUCGGCCUGCAGGUUUUCCGUUAAGGUUUCCGCGAUCCUCACCUAGAUAAGGUCACCCGGGUUUUUCUGGUCUUCUGCAGGGGCGCACACUCCCUCCGCACAGACCAGGAGUGACCUCGGGCUUCCGGAUUUGCCCUUAAUGACUCCUACAUCCCCUCCCCACUUUCCUCUGUCUUCAUUCCAACCUCCCCGAACUGAGGACCCCCAGACACCUCACUCGGGCUCGCGCCUGGCUUCUCACACCCUAACUCAGGGGCCCAAAUUUGCGGCGGGAGAAGCACUGCGGCCCUAACGCCCACAGACUUCAGGACUGCAGCCAGGGGCUGUUGAGGACCCCGCCCUCGCGUCGCGCUUGCCCCGCCCCCGCACCGCGGGCCCGCCCCGCCCCCUCCCACGAAGUCACGUCCGGCCGGCCCUCGCCCGCCCUUCGCCCGCCCUCCGCCCUCCGCUUUCCCGCUCGCUGUUAGGGAGGUUCUGCGCCUCAGCCGCUGCCUCGUCGCCGCUCCCGCCCCCUCUUCUGCGUCUCCGCCGUCGCCACCGCCGGGGACGUCCGGGGGUCGCUUACCGGGCUGGCCUCACGCCACAGCGGUCGCUUCAGCCUCCCUCCAGCGGCCGCCACAGGAAGAGGCUCGCCUGCGCGGAGCCACCUGGGGCCUCAGUUCUAGCUCUCUUCCCGUCGCCGAGGGUCCUGGAGAAGCGGCCGCGGCCAGGGAACUGGGCAUCGCGGUUCCAACGGUUAACUGCUGAAGUACUGAUCGAGUUCUGCGUUUCUUCAAUGAGGAACUACAGGCUGAUCUUCUGCCAUAAUCUCAAACAGCCAUAA
This 1145-nucleotide long non-coding RNA is filed under the name Camelus dromedarius (Arabian camel). Its description in RNAcentral is "lncRNA (ENSCDRG00005001571.1)". Lineage: Eukaryota; Metazoa; Chordata; Mammalia; Artiodactyla; Camelidae. The record is from RNAcentral.